RNAcentral lists this ribosomal RNA (34 nucleotides) under Scorpidium cossonii. RNAcentral's name for it is "partial 18S ribosomal RNA". The record is from RNAcentral. Lineage: Eukaryota; Viridiplantae; Streptophyta; Bryopsida; Hypnales; Amblystegiaceae.
GAACCUGCGGAAGGAUCAUUGCACACACAAGUUG